RNAcentral lists this ribosomal RNA (162 nucleotides) under Taraxacum tenuifolium. RNAcentral's name for it is "5.8S ribosomal RNA". It matches the Rfam family "5.8S ribosomal RNA". From Rfam's summary of the family: 5.8S ribosomal RNA (5.8S rRNA) is a component of the large subunit of the eukaryotic ribosome. It is transcribed by RNA polymerase I as part of the 45S precursor that also contains 18S and 28S rRNA. The record is from RNAcentral. Lineage: Eukaryota; Viridiplantae; Streptophyta; Magnoliopsida; Asterales; Asteraceae.
AAACGACUCUCGGCAACGGAUAUCUCGGCUCACGCAUCGAUGAAGAACGUAGCAAAAUGCGAUACUUGGUGUGAAUUGCAGAAUCCCGUGAACCAUCGAGUUUUUGAACGCAAGUUGCGCCCGAAGCCAUCCGGUUCAGGGCACGCCUGCCUGGGCGUCAUG